Molecule: ribosomal RNA, 1252 nt
Filed under: Escherichia coli
Lineage: Bacteria; Pseudomonadati; Pseudomonadota; Gammaproteobacteria; Enterobacterales; Enterobacteriaceae
Description: partial 23S ribosomal RNA
Rfam family: Bacterial large subunit ribosomal RNA
Source: RNAcentral
ACUUAUAUUCUGUAGCAAGGUUAACCGAAUAGGGGAGCCGAAGGGAAACCGAGUCUUAACCGGGCGUUAAGUUGCAGGGUAUAGACCCGAAACCCGGUGAUCUAGCCAUGGGCAGGUUGAAGGUUGGGUAACACUAACUGGAGGACCGAACCGACUAAUGUUGAAAAAUUAGCGGAUGACUUGUGGCUGGGGGUGAAAGGCCAAUCAAACCGGGAGAUAGCUGGUUCUCCCCGAAAGCUAUUUAGGUAGCGCCUCGUGAAUUCAUCUCCGGGGGUAGAGCACUGUUUCGGCAAGGGGGUCAUCCCGACUUACCAACCCGAUGCAAACUGCGAAUACCGGAGAAUGUUAUCACGGGAGACACACGGCGGGUGCUAACGUCCGUCGUGAAGAGGGAAACAACCCAGACCGCCAGCUAAGGUCCCAAAGUCAUGGUUAAGUGGGAAACGAUGUGGGAAGGCCCAGACAGCCAGGAUGUUGGCUUAGAAGCAGCCAUCAUUUAAAGAAAGCGUAAUAGCUCACUGGUCGAGUCGGCCUGCGCGGAAGAUGUAACGGGGCUAAACCAUGCACCGAAGCUGCGGCAGCGACACUGUGUGUUGUUGGGUAGGGGAGCGUUCUGUAAGCCUGUGAAGGUGUGCUGUGAGGCAUGCUGGAGGUAUCAGAAGUGCGAAUGCUGACAUAAGUAACGAUAAAGCGGGUGAAAAGCCCGCUCGCCGGAAGACCAAGGGUUCCUGUCCAACGUUAAUCGGGGCAGGGUGAGUCGACCCCUAAGGCGAGGCCGAAAGGCGUAGUCGAUGGGAAACAGGUUAAUAUUCCUGUACUUGGUGUUACUGCGAAGGGGGGACGGAGAAGGCUAUGUUGGCCGGGCGACGGUUGUCCCGGUUUAAGCGUGUAGGCUGGUUUUCCAGGCAAAUCCGGAAAAUCAAGGCUGAGGCGUGAUGACGAGGCACUACGGUGCUGAAGCAACAAAUGCCCUGCUUCCAGGAAAAGCCUCUAAGCAUCAGGUAACAUCAAAUCGUACCCCAAACCGACACAGGUGGUCAGGUAGAGAAUACCAAGGCGCUUGAGAGAACUCGGGUGAAGGAACUAGGCAAAAUGGUGCCGUAACUUCGGGAGAAGGCACGCUGAUAUGUAGGUGAAGUCCCUCGCGGAUGGAGCUGAAAUCAGUCGAAGAUACCAGCUGGCUGCAACUGUUUAUUAAAAACACAGCACUGUGCAAACACGAAAGUGGACGUAUACGGUGUGACGCCUGCCC